Equus quagga is the source of this 246-nucleotide long non-coding RNA. RefSeq lists it as uncharacterized. The record is from RefSeq and is a predicted model, not a curated record. The transcript has 3 exons. Lineage: Eukaryota; Metazoa; Chordata; Mammalia; Perissodactyla; Equidae.
GGUGACUUGAUUCCUGAUAUAAAAUAUUUUGUCUUCUACAGUUAGUUAUAUUUUCCUGAAGCCAUCUUAAAUAUAUGCUCAUUCUUUGAAUAAAUAGUUGUUAGAUGCCUUCUAGGAACCAGGUACUGUUGUAGGCUCUGGAGAUUCAACAGACAGGACAAAGUCCCUGUGCCUAUGAAGUAUACAUUCUAACGGGGGAGACAGGGGCUGGCCCCGUGGCCAAGUGGUUAAGUUCGCGAGCUCCGC